GUAAACUUCGCAAGAACGGGAAGAAUAAGUAGGGGACAAUACCCCCUAUGAUGACGGUACCGUUUGUAAGCUCCGGCUAACUCCGUGCCAGCAGCCGCGGUAAUACGGGGGGAGCAAGCGUUGUUCGGAUUUACUGGGCGUAAAGGGCGCGUAGGCGGCCAGCNCAAGUCAGUUGUGAAAUCUCCGAGCUUAACUCGGAAAGGUCAACUGAUACUGNGCGGCUAGAGUGCNGAAGGGGCAACUGGAAUUCUUGGUGUAGCGGUGAAAUGCGUAGAUAUCAAGAGGAACACCUGCGGCGAAGGCGGGUUGCUGGGCNGACACUGACGCUGAGGCGCGAAAGCUAGGGGAGCGAACGGGAUUAGAUACCCCGGUAGUCCUAGCCUUAAACGAUGAAUGCUUGGUGUCUGGGGUUAUAUAGUCCCCGGGUGCCGUCGCUAACGCUUUAAGCAUUCCGCCUGGGGAGUACGGUCGCAAGACUGAAACUCAAAGGAAUUGACGGA
RNAcentral lists this ribosomal RNA (500 nucleotides) under uncultured bacterium. Its description in RNAcentral is "bacterial SSU rRNA". It matches the Rfam family "Bacterial small subunit ribosomal RNA", at positions 425 to 917 of the family's 1533-position model. The record is from RNAcentral.